ACUAGCUGAUGAGUCCUAAAUAGGACGAAAUGCACGUUGUCCUGGAU
This 47-nucleotide non-coding RNA is filed under the name Trichobilharzia regenti. Lineage: Eukaryota; Metazoa; Platyhelminthes; Trematoda; Strigeidida; Schistosomatidae. The record is from RNAcentral.